This 1451-nucleotide ribosomal RNA is filed under the name Escherichia coli. RNAcentral's name for it is "partial 23S ribosomal RNA". It matches the Rfam family "Bacterial large subunit ribosomal RNA", at positions 1513 to 2925 of the family's 2925-position model. Lineage: Bacteria; Pseudomonadati; Pseudomonadota; Gammaproteobacteria; Enterobacterales; Enterobacteriaceae. RNAcentral also lists the same sequence under 1 other name. The record is from RNAcentral.
UAAGCGUGUAGGCUGGUUUUCCAGGCAAAUCCGGAAAAUCAAGGCUGAGGCGUGAUGACGAGGCACUACGGUGCUGAAGCGACAAAUGCCCUGCUUCCAGGAAAAGCCUCUAAGCAUCAGGUAACAUCAAAUCGUACCCCAAACCGACACAGGUGGUCAGGUAGAGAAUACCAAGGCGCUUGAGAGAACUCGGGUGAAGGAACUAGGCAAAAUGGUGCCGUAACUUCGGGAGAAGGCACGCUGAUAUGUAGGUGAAGCGACUUGCUCGUGGAGCUGAAAUCAGUCGAAGAUACCAGCUGGCUGCAACUGUUUAUUAAAAACACAGCACUGUGCAAACACGAAAGUGGACGUAUACGGUGUGACGCCUGCCCGGUGCCGGAAGGUUAAUUGAUGGGGUUAGCGGUAACGCGAAGCUCUUGAUCGAAGCCCCGGUAAACGGCGGCCGUAACUAUAACGGUCCUAAGGUAGCGAAAUUCCUUGUCGGGUAAGUUCCGACCUGCACGAAUGGCGUAAUGAUGGCCAGGCUGUCUCCACCCGAGACUCAGUGAAAUUGAACUCGCUGUGAAGAUGCAGUGUACCCGCGGCAAGACGGAAAGACCCCGUGAACCUUUACUAUAGCUUGACACUGAACAUUGAGCCUUGAUGUGUAGGAUAGGUGGGAGGCUUUGAAGUGUGGACGCCAGUCUGCAUGGAGCCGACCUUGAAAUACCACCCUUUAAUGUUUGAUGUUCUAACGUGGGCCCCUUACCGGGGUUGCGGACAGUGUCUGGUGGGUAGUUUGACUGGGGCGGUCUCCUCCUAAAGAGUAACGGAGGAGCACGAAGGUUGGCUAAUCCUGGUCGGACAUCAGGAGGUUAGUGCAAUGGCAUAAGCCAGCUUGACUGCGAGCGUGACGGCGCGAGCAGGUGCGAAAGCAGGUCAUAGUGAUCCGGUGGUUCUGAAUGGAAGGGCCAUCGCUCAACGGAUAAAAGGUACUCCGGGGAUAACAGGCUGAUACCGCCCAAGAGUUCAUAUCGACGGCGGUGUUUGGCACCUCGAUGUCGGCUCAUCACAUCCUGGGGCUGAAGUAGGUCCCAAGGGUAUGGCUGUUCGCCAUUUAAAGUGGUACGCGAGCUGGGUUUAGAACGUCGUGAGACAGUUCGGUCCCUAUCUGCCGUGGGCGCUGGAGAACUGAGGGGGGCUGCUCCUAGUACGAGAGGACCGGAGUGGACGCAUCACUGGUGUUCGGGUUGUCAUGCCAAUGGCACUGCCCGGUAGCUAAAUGCGGAAGAGAUAAGUGCUGAAAGCAUCUAAGCACGAAACUUGCCCCGAGAUGAGUUCUCCCUGACUCCUUGAGAGUCCUGAAGGAACGUUGAAGACGACGACGUUGAUAGGCCGGGUGUGUAAGCGCAGCGAUGCGUUGAGCUAACCGGUACUAAUGAACCGUGAGGCUUAACCUUACAACGCCGAAG